Molecule: long non-coding RNA, 936 nt
Organism: Eriocheir sinensis (Chinese mitten crab)
Lineage: Eukaryota; Metazoa; Arthropoda; Malacostraca; Decapoda; Varunidae
Exons: 3
Source: RefSeq, a predicted model, not a curated record
GCUCUUAGAUGCCACCCCGGAUGCCGGCCUGGUGCACCCCCUUGUACUCCUCCUGGAGAGGGCAGACAAACUCGGGCGCUGUCGUGUUGUUCGUCAAGCUGCUCCGCUCGCCGCACACCAACGUAACAUGCAGAGCAAGCCGUGUGGGCGCCGGGAAACACUGCUGGCGAUGGCCCCAAACUCAGAGACUUCGUCAUUAAGGCUGGCAUUGUACAACCUCUUUUGAAACUCAUUAGACCAGACACAGAGACUGCCGAGAUCAACGAGGUGGACCGCCUGGACCAGAUGACUGAGGAGUGCGGCGGACUGGACAAGACCGAGGACUGCAGCACCACGACAACGAGGCCGUGUACGAGAAGGCCCUGGAUGGAUAUCAUCGAGAAGUGUUCCGGCGAGGAGGAGGGCCCCGAGGUGAGCAGCCCCACCAGUGGCCAGGUGUACGACUACUCUGCCGUGAACAACGUGCCUGAGGGUGGAUUCUCUUUCUAGGACUUCAGUGUGCGUGUCUGGCAAGGGAGGAGCAGCAGCAGGCAGGGUGUGUGUUCCACGGCGGAAUAAUGUGAUAAUGUAUCUAACCGUCAAUCUCACUUGUCUAAGUGACCUCUGCAGCAUGUUUUACUGGGCCUUCAGUGGACCCGCUGGUGCCUCAAUGUUUUACUGGGCCUUCAGCGGACCCGCUGGUGCCUCAGUGUUUUACUGGGCCUUCAGUGGACCCGCUGGUGCCUCAAUGUUUUACUGGGCCUUCAGCGGACCCGCUGGUGCCUCAGUGUUUUCCUGGGCCUUCAGUGGACCCGCUGGUGCCUCAAUGUUUUACUGGGCCUUCAGUGGACCCGCUGGUGCCUCAGUGUUUUACUGGGCCUUCAGUGGACCCGCUGGUGCCUCAGUGUUUUACUGGGCCUUCAGUGGACCCGCUGGUGCCUCAAUGUUUUACUGGGC